UUGCACGCUGGCGGCAGGCCUAACCCCUGCCAGUCGAGCGGAUGAAGGGAGCUUGCUCCUGGAUUCAGCGGCGGACGGGUGAGUAAUGCCUAGGAAUCUGCCUGGUAGUGGGGGAUAACGUCCGGAAACGGGCGCUAAUACCGCAUACGUCCUGAGGGAGAAAGUGGGGGAUCUUCGGACCUCACGCUAUCAGAUGAGCCCAGGUCGGAUUAGCUAGUUGGUGGGGUAAAGGCCUACCAAGGCGACGAUCCGUAACUGGUCUGAGAGGAUGAUCAGUCACACUGGAACUGAGACACGGUCCAGACUCCUACGGGAGGCAGCAGUGGGGAAUAUUGGACAAUGGGCGAAAGCCUGAUCCAGCCAUGCCGCGUGUGUGAAGAAGGUCUUCGGAUUGUAAAGCACUUUAAGUUGGGAGGAAGGGCAGUAAGUUAAUACCUUGCUGUUUUGACGUUACCAACAGAAUAAGCACCGGCUAACUUCGUG
RNAcentral lists this ribosomal RNA (483 nucleotides) under uncultured bacterium. Its description in RNAcentral is "partial 16S ribosomal RNA". It matches the Rfam family "Bacterial small subunit ribosomal RNA", at positions 30 to 507 of the family's 1533-position model. The record is from RNAcentral.